Long non-coding RNA from Triticum dicoccoides, 467 nucleotides. RefSeq lists it as uncharacterized. The record is from RefSeq and is a predicted model, not a curated record. Lineage: Eukaryota; Viridiplantae; Streptophyta; Magnoliopsida; Poales; Poaceae. The transcript is spliced from 3 exons.
CUCCGCCCGGCAACCGGAGGCGACGCAUCACCACCUACACCUCCACGACUUGCUCCUCCGGCGGGGGCAACGGCGACCGGGGUCAUCAUCCUCCCUCUUCCCGGAUCUCGUCUCUGCCCAGAGAUCGAAGGACCUUCUCUGUUGUCUGAAAUUUGUACCCAAGUGAGCAGCUGUACUGAAGAACAUCGAACAUUUUGCAGUGCAUCUAACUAACCUGACCUCACAAUAGGUGCUGAUUUGUAGGUCUGCUCUGAAAUUAGAAGUUGGCUUUAUCUGAAGACUUUGUGUAAAAUUGCUUGGUGCCUUUCGAAAGAUUUCACUCAGAGCAAGAAAGGUAUGUGACAUAGUCAUCCUUUUGACAUGGUCAUUGAGGAAGCUUAAAUUAUGCAAAACUACUGCUCUUGUGAUGUUAUUUUUCUGUGCCUAGUAAUGAAAGCGUUCUUAUUUUAGUAUAUGAGAAAAUUGUU